UCCUUAGAUGUUCUGGGCCGCACGCGCGCUACACUGAUGCAUUCAACGAGCCUAGCCUUGACCGAGAGGUCCGGGUAAUCUUUGAAACUGCAUCGUGAUGGGGCUAGAUUAUUGCAAUUAUUAAUCUUCAACGAGGAAUGCCUAGUAAGCGUGAUUCAUCAAAUCGCGUUGAUUACGUCCCUGCCCUUUGUACACACCGCCCGUCGCUCCUACCGAUUGAGUGUGUUGGUGAGGAGUUCGGAUUGGCUCUUAGUGGUGGUUCGCCACCACCUAGAGCUGAGAAGUUCUCCAAACCGCCCCACUUAGAGGAAGGAGAAGUCGUAACA
This 326-nucleotide ribosomal RNA is filed under the name uncultured eukaryote. RNAcentral's name for it is "partial 18S ribosomal RNA". It matches the Rfam family "Eukaryotic small subunit ribosomal RNA", at positions 1470 to 1796 of the family's 1831-position model. The record is from RNAcentral.